UGGGUGGGGUGAGGUGGGGAAUACUAAAUAGCUCUGUUCCAAGCUUGGCAUUUGGCAUUAAUGUGAAGCAGUGGAACCAUGCUGCCUGCUAAACUACUGUAUGAAUUGUAAGUGUUCUGAAGACCAGCAGCUGGAGGCUGGAGGACAGCAUCCACACAAGGAGGAGAAGCACCACCGCUGCGUCGGGGACAAGGAAGGAAAUCGGGGUGGCCUGGAGUCGUCGUUCGCGAAGGGAAUGUUGGGGUGUACAUGAUGUUGUUGAGGAGAUUCACUUUGAUUGCACUGCUCCACAGAGCCCUCAUAUAAGGCCAAUCCCAAUGGGCUACCUCGGCUUUCAAAGUUACUUUCAAUAAGUCCUUGUUUUGCACCUUAUACAAAGUGUACUAAUUGUUAAUUAGAUGUUGCUUUUGUCUAUACAAGCAUUCCCAAAGAAUUAGAUUUAAUUUUGUUGUAUUUGAAUUUGAGGAUUUUUAAAAACGACUUUAUUUAGGUUGACUAACAGCAUAUGUAUAAUGAAAAAAGAGGCAGUUUUUCAUUUCAUCUUACCAGAUGUGAAGUAUUCAGGGUCUGAUGGACUGCUUUUCUUUAAUUUGGAAAUGAUCAAGUUUAUUGUAGUCCAUAUUAAAUGGCUUUGUCCUUUUCAUGGCAGAUAUUAUCUUGGUACCUUUCAGAACAAAGAACAAGUGUGAAUAACAAGACAUAGGCAUUUGAUUUAUAUAUCCCCGCCUGUCUGUAUUAUGCUUUCCUUCAAUAUAUAUUCAUAUUCUUUUUUAAUAUCUUUUUCUGGCCAAAUUUUAUCUCUAGUGGUGUGAUUUACACUACUAAGUUGAGAGAAGGAACCUUGUAGUUAAAAGUUCUGUGGCCACUGGUUUUCUUGGUUGUGUUUUGUCAAUCAGUGGUCAAAACUGAUCAUACCCUGAAACUGAUUUUUAUACGCACAACUAGUUAUCCUGAACAUUACUCCUCCUUCCAAAGAUAUCCUGAUAACUUGGACCGGAACUGGUUACUGAGUAACAAGGAUCUAAUUGAAUGCCUCUAAACCCUUCCACCCGCAAUGCAAAUCUUACCUCACAAGCUCUAAACUAAAUCACAGAGAUAAGUGUGUUUCAUGAACUAUCACUGAUUCUCUUUGUGGCCCACUAGGGGUGGGCUCAGGUCCCCUCACAUUAGUGCCUCGGCCUAAAGAGCAGCAGAACCGAGGGUAGGGGAAAGGUUUGCCAUCUAGAGCUCAGUAACUUGCUUGGCAACAUUUUUUUUUUUUCAUUUCACUAUAAACAAGUCUCUUGCUCUCAGGAAUUUGUCAAAAAAAAAAAGCAAACAAAAAACACCUGAGAUUCCACACACUAGAUUUUGAACUUUUCUCAUAGGUUUGAAUUGCUUACUCAAAUGUCAUAAAUUAACCAUAGUUUUAUUUGACCACCAGGUCUUAAUUCUGUUGACAGUUUCAGCAUGACUGAAUCACUCUUUUUUUUUUUUUCUUUCGGAAAUUGGCUUGGUUCUCUUUAGAGUUGGUGUAAACAUGCCAUGUAGUAAAUGAUUUCCACUUAAUGGUACAACAGAAUAUUACUUUCUUAGAUGUAUGUGUAGUAAAAGUCAAUAUACACAUUUAUAUCAUUUAUUUCUUCAAAAUCUUAUACCUUAUUUGAUAUUUCUAAAAAUUGCACAUGUAAGUCAUGUGUAUAACAUGCUAAAGUACUUUAACUGUGAUCUUAAAACUG
Molecule: long non-coding RNA, 1718 nt
Organism: Heterocephalus glaber (naked mole-rat)
Lineage: Eukaryota; Metazoa; Chordata; Mammalia; Rodentia; Bathyergidae
Source: Ensembl